RNAcentral lists this ribosomal RNA (253 nucleotides) under uncultured bacterium. Its description in RNAcentral is "partial 16S ribosomal RNA". It matches the Rfam family "Bacterial small subunit ribosomal RNA", at positions 524 to 776 of the family's 1533-position model. The record is from RNAcentral.
UACGGGGGGGGCAAGCGUUGUUCGGAAUUACUGGGCGUAAAGGGCUCGUAGGCGGCCAACUAAGUCAGACGUGAAAUCCCUCGGCUUAACCGGGGAACUGCGUCUGGUACUGGAUGGCUUGAGUUUGGGAGAGGGAUGCGGAAUUCCAGGUGUAGCGGUGAAAUGUGUAGAGAUCGGGAGGAACACCGGUGGCGAAGGCGGGUCUCUGGGCAAUUCCUGACGCUGAGGCGCGAAAGCGUGGGGAGCAAACGGG